UGGGGAAUAUUGGACAAUGGGCGAAAGCCUGAUCCAGCCAUGCCGCGUGUGUGAAGAAGUUCUUCGGAUUGUACAGCACUUUAAGUUGCGAGGAAGGUCAUUAAGCGAAUACCUUGCUCUUUUGACGUUACCGACAGUAUAAGCACCGGCUAACUCUGUGCCAGCAGCCGCGGUAAUACUGAGGGUGCAAGCGUUAAUCGGAAUUACUGGGCGUAAAGCGCGCGUAGGUGGUUCGUUAAGUUGAAUGUGAGAGCCCCGGGCUCAACCUGGGAACUGCAUCCAAAACAGGCGAGAUAGAGUAGGGCAGAGGGUGGUGGAAUUUCCUGUGUAGCGGUGAAAGGCGUAGAAAUAGGAAGGAACACCAGUGGCGAAGGCGACCACCAGGGAUCAUACUGACACUGAAGUGCGAAAGCGUGGGGAGCAAACAGG
RNAcentral lists this ribosomal RNA (429 nucleotides) under Pseudomonadota bacterium. Its description in RNAcentral is "Proteobacteria bacterium partial 16S ribosomal RNA". It matches the Rfam family "Bacterial small subunit ribosomal RNA", at positions 355 to 776 of the family's 1533-position model. The record is from RNAcentral. Lineage: Bacteria; Pseudomonadati; Pseudomonadota.